RNAcentral lists this ribosomal RNA (450 nucleotides) under uncultured bacterium. RNAcentral describes it as "partial 16S ribosomal RNA". It matches the Rfam family "Bacterial small subunit ribosomal RNA", at positions 354 to 796 of the family's 1533-position model. The record is from RNAcentral.
GUGGGGAAUAUUGGACAAUGGGCGAAAGCCUGAUCCAGCCAUGCCGCGUGUGUGAAGAAGGUCUUCGGAUUGUAAAGCACUUUAAGUUGGGAGGAAGGGCAGUAAGUUAAUACCUUGCUGUUUUGACGUUACCGACAGAAUAAGCACCGGCUAACUUCGUGCCAGCAGCCGCGGUAAUACGAAGGGUGCAAGCGUUAAUCGGAAUUACUGGGCGUAAAGCGCGCGUAGGUGGUUUUGUAAGUUGGAGGUGAAAUCCCCGGGCUCAACCUGGGAACUGCCUCCAAAACUGCAUGACUAGAGUACGGUAGAGGGUAGUGGAAUUUCCUGUGUAGCGGUGAAAUGCGUAGAUAUAGGAAGGAACACCAGUGGCGAAGGCGACUACCUGGACCGAUACUGACACUGAGGUGCGAAAGCGUGGGGAGCAAACAGGAUUAGAAACCCGGGUAGUCC